RNAcentral lists this long non-coding RNA (359 nucleotides) under Olea europaea subsp. europaea. Lineage: Eukaryota; Viridiplantae; Streptophyta; Magnoliopsida; Lamiales; Oleaceae. The record is from RNAcentral.
UAUAUAUAUAUAUAUAUAUAUAUAUAUAAAUCGGUGACAUAACCAGUUGUUAUGAUAAAUUUGCACAUUGUAUUCUAAUAUAUAUAUGGUUCCACAUCCGUAUAAGAAUCCUUAUUUCCUCCAUGCUCAUCUUAUAAACAUUUUGUCUUUUAACAGGAUAAACUAUGUAUAACGUAAAAUACAGUUCAUCUAAGAACUAUCCUAUGGAAAUGACAUGGGAUCUACCUACCCCGUAGAAUUCAUGUAGCACUUGGAGACGAUAUGAUCAUUUAUGGUGACUCAACUAUUAUCCAUAUUCUUGCACUUUCAGAUUUUGUCCUCUCAUUUAUAUCUUUCCAUUGAGCACUUUUGCACAUGCA